Oncorhynchus keta (chum salmon) is the source of this 1303-nucleotide long non-coding RNA. RefSeq lists it as uncharacterized. The transcript is spliced from 4 exons. The record is from RefSeq and is a predicted model, not a curated record. Lineage: Eukaryota; Metazoa; Chordata; Actinopteri; Salmoniformes; Salmonidae.
AGAGAGAGGAAGAUGAAGGAGAGAGAGGGGGCGGUGGGGGGAGUGGAGGAGAGGAGGAGAGGUGGUGAGGGGGAACAGGGUGACAAAGAGAGAGAAAGAGGGAGUGCAGGUGAGAAAGAAAUGUGUGCUGUGAUUGUGUGUGUGUGUGUGUGUGUUCUUCUUCCUGGUAUUGCAGUGGUUUGUGGGUAAACCACUGGUACACAACAGAUGGACGACAAGUCUGACUCACACUGGACCCAGAAUUAGAUCUGUUUGUGCUUUCAGCCAACUUCUCACACAUGUGCUGUAUGGCAGCAGAGUAGUUCGCUAAAGGACAAGCUGAUCUGGGACCAGUCUAUAACAGGCCCUGAUGACUGUGGGAUAAUAAUACUCGUAUUAUUCUAUUGACGUAUCUCUCACCCAUGAUUGGUCUAUUUAUGCGCAGCUACUUCAUGCGGUAAAGUAUUCAGAAUAUUGAGGUGGAGUGGAGCUGCCUACGGACAGGUCAGGGAAGGGCCCUACGGACAGGUCAGGGAGGGGCCCUACAGACAGGUCAGGGAGGGGCCCUACGGACAGGUCAGGGAGGGGCCCUACAGACAGGUCAGGGAGGGGCCCUACAGACAGGUCAGGGAGGGGCCCUACAGACAGGUCAGGGAGGGGCUCUAUGGACAGGUCAGGGAGGGGCUCUAUGGACAGGUCAGGGAGGGGCUCUACGGACAGGUCAGGGAGGGGCCCUACGGACAGGUCAGGGAGGGGCCGUACGGACAGGUCAGGGAGAGGCCCUACAGACAGGUCAGGGAGGAGCCCUACAGACAGGUCAGGGAGGGACUAUAUGGACAGGUCAGGGAGGGGCUAUAUGGACAGGUCAGGGAGGGGCUCUAUGGACAGGUCAGGGAGGGGCUCUAUGGACAGGUCAGGGAGGGGCUAUAUGGACAGGUCAGGGAGGGGCUAUAUGGACAGGUCAGGGAGGGGCUCUAUGGACAGGUCAGGGAGGGGCCCUACAGACAGGUCAGGGAGGGGCCCUACAGACAGGUCAGGGAGGGGCCCUACAGACAGGUCAGGGAGGGGCCCUACAGACAGGUCAGGGAGGAGCCCUACAGACAGGUCAGGGAGGGGCCCUACAGACAGGUCAGGGAGGGGCUGUAUGGACAGGUCAGGGAGGGGCUCUACGGACAGGUAUUUAUUUUGGGUACAGUGUGCCGUCAGUCUGUUGUUGUCAUCUUCCCAGGCCCUCUCUCCUUUCCUGUUCUGUGCUCAGUGAACUCCAGUGAGACAGGACAGCAGGCUAGCAGCACUGUGAGAGAAGCAGCAGAGGGCAGGGACG